GUUUGAUCAUGGCUCAGAUUGAACGCUGGCGGCAGGCUUAACACAUGCAAGUCGAGCGGGGGAAGGUAGCUUGCUACUGGACCUAGCGGCGGACGGGUGAGUAAUGCUUAGGAAUCUGCCUAUUAGUGGGGGACAACAUCUCGAAAGGGAUGCUAAUACCGCAUACGUCCUACGGGAGAAAGCAGGGGAUCUUCGGACCUUGCGCUAAUAGAUGAGCCUAAGUCGGAUUAGCUAGUUGGUGGGGUAAAGGCCUACCAAGGCGACGAUCUGUAGCGGGUCUGAGAGGAUGAUCCGCCACACUGGGACUGAGACACGGCCCAGACUCCUACGGGAGGCAGCAGUGGGGAAUAUUGGACAAUGGGGGGAACCCUGAUCCAGCCAUGCCGCGUGUGUGAAGAAGGCCUUAUGGUUGUAAAGCACUUUAAGCGAGGAGGAGGCUACUUUAGUUAAUACCUAGAGAUAGUGGACGUUACUCGCAGAAUAAGCACCGGCUAACUCUGUGCCAGCAGCCGCGGUAAUACAGAGGGUGCGAGCGUUAAUCGGAUUUACUGGGCGUAAAGCGUGCGUAGGCGGCUUAUUAAGUCGGAUGUGAAAUCCCCGAGCUUAACUUGGGAAUUGCAUUCGAUACUGGUGAGCUAGAGUAUGGGAGAGGAUGGUAGAAUUCCAGGUGUAGCGGUGAAAUGCGUAGAGAUCUGGAGGAAUACCGAUGGCGAAGGCAGCCAUCUGGCCUAAUACUGACGCUGAGGUACGAAAGCAUGGGGAGCAAACAGGAUUAGAUACCCUGGUAGUCCAUGCCGUAAACGAUGUCUACUAGCCGUUGGGGCCUUUGAGGCUUUAGUGGCGCAGCUAACGCGAUAAGUAGACCGCCUGGGGAGUACGGUCGCAAGACUAAAACUCAAAUGAAUUGACGGGGGCCCGCACAAGCGGUGGAGCAUGUGGUUUAAUUCGAUGCAACGCGAAGAACCUUACCUGGCCUUGACAUACUAGAAACUUUCCAGAGAUGGAUUGGUGCCUUCGGGAAUCUAGAUACAGGUGCUGCAUGGCUGUCGUCAGCUCGUGUCGUGAGAUGUUGGGUUAAGUCCCGCAACGAGCGCAACCCUUUUCCUUACUUGCCAGCAUUUCGGAUGGGAACUUUAAGGAUACUGCCAGUGACAAACUGGAGGAAGGCGGGGACGACGUCAAGUCAUCAUGGCCCUUACGGCCAGGGCUACACACGUGCUACAAUGG
This 1227-nucleotide ribosomal RNA is filed under the name Acinetobacter baumannii. RNAcentral's name for it is "bacterial SSU rRNA". It matches the Rfam family "Bacterial small subunit ribosomal RNA", at positions 11 to 1233 of the family's 1533-position model. The record is from RNAcentral. Lineage: Bacteria; Pseudomonadati; Pseudomonadota; Gammaproteobacteria; Moraxellales; Moraxellaceae.